GACGAACGCUGGCGGCGUGCUUAACACAUGCAAGUCGAACGGAAAGGCCCUGCUUUUGUGGGGUGCUCGAGUGGCGAACGGGGGAGUAACACGUGAGUAACCUGCCCCUGACUGUGGGAUAACUUCAGGAAACUGGGGCUAAUACAGGAUAGGAGCUCCUGCUGCAUGGGGGGGGUUGGAAAGUUUCGGCGGUUGGGGAUUGACUCGCGGCUUAUCAGCUGGUUGGGGGGGUAGUGGCUUACCAAGGCUUUGACGGGUAGCCGGCGUGAGAGGGUGGCCGGCCACAUUGCGCCUGCGAUACGGCCCAGACUCCUACGGGAGGCAGCAGUGGGGAAUAUUGCACAAUGGGCGGAAGCCUGAUGCAGCAACGCCGCGUGCGGGAUGACGUCCUUCGGGUUGUAAACCGCUUUCGCCUGUGACGAAGCGUGAGUGACGGUAAUGGGUAAAGAAGCACCGGCUAACUACGUG
RNAcentral lists this ribosomal RNA (468 nucleotides) under uncultured bacterium. RNAcentral's name for it is "partial 16S ribosomal RNA". It matches the Rfam family "Bacterial small subunit ribosomal RNA", at positions 28 to 507 of the family's 1533-position model. The record is from RNAcentral.